Carcharodon carcharias (great white shark) is the source of this 2535-nucleotide RNA transcript. It is a transcript of the gene named purinergic receptor P2X, ligand-gated ion channel, 2, with no coding region annotated. The transcript is spliced from 11 exons. Lineage: Eukaryota; Metazoa; Chordata; Chondrichthyes; Lamniformes; Lamnidae. The record is from RefSeq and is a predicted model, not a curated record.
UUACUUUAAAAACAUGCAGAUUUCAAGUUAGGGAGACUUCGGGAUCUUUGGGGAAAGCAAAACACAGCCUCAAUUUCCUUUUUAUUGCGACCGAAACGGCAUUUCGAUACGCAAAUAGCUGGAACCCCGAAGGUGUCGCUGUUUCAUCCGUGACCCUCGUGGGGAGGAGGUAGGAGGAGAAGGGAGCGAAAGUUGUUUAAAGUCAGUACUCAGCUAAUCCGCCAAACGAAUGAGGGAAAGGCAGAGCGCCGAUAGUUAAAUCCUACAGGCUGAGGAAGGUACAUGUCGCCAGAGCCCAACAGGAUUAAAUCGGCAUUUCGGAGGGAUUUACAAACAUGGGCUACAGGGAGACGUGUGCUCUGUACUGGGCAGAAUUUUGGGAUUAUGAGACUCCCAAAGUUGUGGUGGUUAAAAACCGAACUUUAGGAGUUAUCUACAGAAUUAUCCAACUUCUUAUCAUAUUGUAUUUUGCCAUAUAUGUUUUCAUCAUCCAAAAGGCAUACCAAGAAAGAGAGAAUGCUCCAGAGAGUUCUGUCAUCACCAAGAUGAAAGGAGUUGGAAUUUCAAAUUCCUCCAUGGGAAUUAAAAUAUGGGAUGUUGCGGAAUAUGUCAAUCCACCAGAGGGUCGAGAUGUUUUCAGCAUCACUGUCCGAACGAUAACAACCCCAUUACAAAGACUGCACACCUGUCCUGAGAGUGCCAAUGUUCCUGGAUCUAAAUGCACAUCUGACUUAGAUUGUGUGGCUGGAGAGAUGGAAUUGCUUGGAAAUGGAUUGAAAACUGGGAGAUGUGUAACUCAUCAUGAUUUGAUAAAGACAUGCGAGGUCUACGCUUGGUGUCCAGUGGAGAAUGGACUAUCUCAGAGGGACUCUAUAUUGACAAGGGCCCAGAAUUUCACCAUAUUCAUCAAAAACAGUAUUCACUUCCCCAGGUUUGGGUUCACAAAAGGAAACAUUCAGAGAAAUAGAGACCCAGAGUAUUUGAGAAGCUGCACUUUUGAUGAGGAGACCAACCUCUAUUGUCCCAUUUUUCCAUUGAGCUUAAUUAUUGAGAAAGCAGGAGAGACGUUUGACAACCUCAGCCAAACGGGAGGAAUCCUGGGAGUAAUUAUAAGCUGGAGCUGUGACCUGGAUAAGGCAGCUUCAGAAUGUAAACCUCAUUAUUCCUUUAGGAGGCUCGAUUCUGCAUCCCAAGGUGGCGAGGCUUCCUUAGGGUAUAAUUUCAGGCAUGCAAAACACUACGUGGAGAAUGGCACUGAAUACAGAAAUCUAAUAAAAGUGUUUGGGAUAAGAAUUGACAUUAUUGUUCAUGGCAGGAAAGUUUGAUAUUGUCCCAACAAUUAUUGGUAUUGCUGCAGCUCUUACAUCUAUUGGAGUUGGUUCAUUCCUGUGUGACUGGAUUUUGCUGACCUUCAUGAACAAGAAUGAAGUCUACAGUGCAAAGAAGUUUGAAGAGGUGAAAAUACAACUAAUCAGACUCGGGGACAUUUUCUGAUGGAAUUCACUGAGAUUGUUUGUAGCCUUCUCAUUCUGCGACUUAGCAGUGGAGCUCUCCAUAGCUGCUGUGGUCAGCUGGCAGGAAGUGUACUUCUGGAUGGAACUGAUUUCACCCCAUCUAGGAGUGCAGCUCAGAACUGACAAUAUUUUGGUGGCCUCAAUGAUAUAGCACUUGGAUUUACCAAUGAGGUGUCUCACAGAGAUGGCAUUCCUCAGCUGAAACGUUUAAUUAAAGCCCCAUCAAUCACCUCUGGUGAACAUGAAAAAUCCAAUGACAUUAUUCAAAGAAAACAGGAAACUCCCCUGUUGUGAUGGCCAAUAUUCUUCCCACAAUCAACAUCAUAAAAAAACAGAUCAUCCAGUUAUUCAUUCAUUUGCUGUUGGAUGGAGCUUGCUGUGCACAAAUUUGCUGCUGCAUUUACAUAACAGUAAUGACUGUAUUUCAGGGUUAAAUAAUUGGCACUCAGGUAUUUAGGAAUGUCCUAAAGACAUGACAUAUCAAAUUUUUAUGUCUUCAGGGGUUGUUUAUCUGAACUAGUAGAUGUAGUUUCAGUUUAAUGUUUUAGUUGGAAGUUGGCAUCUUCAACAAUGCAGCAUUCCUGCAGUACAGCACUCAUGCCAAUCUAGACUAUAUGGAGAUAGAAUUGAGAUCUUUUCUCACAAUCUACUACACAAUAAGGUAUACCAGGUGACGAUAAAUACCCUGGUGGCAGAGAAAGAACUCUUGGUCAGAUUUUGGAGGAAGAUGAUCUGCUCUGGGAGAAAAGGAGUAUCAGAUUGUGAUCUCCAGUUUACCCAUAUUGUACAGCUGGUUACAUAGCAAGACAGGUUAAUUAAGGUGUAUGGCACAGGGAAGCAUCAGGGGAAAGGAAACAAAUGGCCCAUAUAUUGAAAUGGUGCAAAGAUGAAAAAGCAACAUAUGAUAAAAUGCCAUUGAAUUACUAUAUCAUGGGCAGAAUUUUCCCCCGAUCUGGUCCGCGCAGCCAUUUUACAUUCACAUAGGUGCCUCAGGGAGAUAAGUUUUAAGUUUGAAAAAUUU